UCGAGGAUCUUCCGCAAUGGGCGCAAGCCUGACGGAGCGACGCCGCGUGUGGGAUGAAGGCCUUCGGGUUGUAAACCACUGUCACUCGUUAAGAAAGGGUCCGGCGUCAACAGCGUCGGGCACUGACGAAGGCGAGAGAGGAAGCCACGGCUAACUUCGUGCCAGCAGCCGCGGUAAGACGAAGGUGGCGAGCGUUGUUCGGAAUCAAUGGGCAGAAAGCGCACGUAGGCGGUGCCGUAAGUCGGGUGUGAAAUCCCUCGGCCUAACCGAGGAACUGCGCCCGGUACUGCGGUGCUUGAGGACCAGAGGGGUGCAUGGAAUUUCCGGUGGAGCGGUGAAAUGCGUUGAUAUCGGAAGGAACUCCGGCGGCGAAAGCGAUGCACUGGCUGGUUUCUGACGCUGAGGUGCGAAAGCCAGGGGAGCAAACGGG
This 430-nucleotide ribosomal RNA is filed under the name bacterium. Its description in RNAcentral is "partial 16S ribosomal RNA". It matches the Rfam family "Bacterial small subunit ribosomal RNA", at positions 355 to 776 of the family's 1533-position model. The record is from RNAcentral.